RNAcentral lists this long non-coding RNA (5050 nucleotides) under Medicago truncatula (barrel medic). RNAcentral's name for it is "long non-coding RNA (MTRU_LNC000905)". Lineage: Eukaryota; Viridiplantae; Streptophyta; Magnoliopsida; Fabales; Fabaceae. The record is from RNAcentral.
UUCUGUUCUUCACCUUCUUCUUAUCUCUUCUUUCCCCGUUGCAUGUGCCGGAUUUUUCGGUUCUUGUUUCCAUAAUUCACCUCCUGGAACAAACACUCUCUUGUAAGUAAAUCUCUUACCUUUUUGUUCUUUCUGUUCCUCUCUCUCUACUAAACAAAAAACAAAAAUCUUUCUGGGUUUUCUAGUUUUACUCUAAAAGUUAAUUUUUUUUACUAUUUAUCAGAAGCCUUAUGUGUGAUUUUUCUGAUAAAUGUUUUUCCAUUUUUAUUCUCUCAACUUUAUGUUCAUGAAAAAAAGUUUACAUUUUUUUGUUUAAUUAUCUUCUAGUUUUUUCAAUCUAUGAAAAGAUUCAUUCCUUUUACUUUCAUUUAAUAUGGAUCUUAAUUAUAUUUGAAUUUAUGUAAAAAAAAUUGAUUUUUCUUUGUUAUAGAUUGGAUUUGAUGGGAGAAGCAGGUGAAUUACGAAGUUGGGAUGAAUUGAUUCCUGAUGCAUUAGGGGUGAUCUUUACAAAUCUUUCUCUGAAAGAGAGAGUGACAGUGAUUCCAAGGGUAUGUAAAUCAUGGUGUAAAGCAGUGUCUGGACCUAAUUGUUGGCAAGAGAUAGAUAUUGAAGAAUGGAGCAACUAUUGCCAACCUGAUAAACUUGAUCAGAUGCUUCAUAUGCUUAUAAGUAAAAGCUGUGGAUCUCUCAGAAAGUUGUGUGUUUCUGGUCUUCAAACUGAGACCAUUUUCACUUUCAUUGCUGAAAAGUAAGCAUAAUUAACUCCGUAGUCUUACUUUAUUUUAGAGAAUGAAAUUGAUGUAUGAAUGCUUGCAUAGUUAAUGUUAUUGUUAUGCUAAUUGUUAAAAUGUUUAACAAAAGGAUAUUUAUUUGAGCAGUGUUCCACAAAUCGAGUGUUAAAAUGCUGACUGUUCAUAUUAAGGUUAAUUACAUAGUUAGUCUUGAUUCAGUUAAGGUGAUACUACUAUGGAAUUAAAUAUAAACAGAAAAGUACAUGUAUCUGGUCCAAUAAUGGAUCAAAUUUGUGUACUUUUUUUGUUUAUAUUUAAGUCCAAAGAGAACAUCACUUGGACUAGAAGGAAAUUAAAUUGAUAAACAAGAGAAAAAGUUGAAUUAGCGACAGAUAAUUAUAGUCGAAAAAACAUGAAAUUCAGCUUUAAUUUUGUUGCUGAGUGUUAAAGAUGCAAAAAUUGGUGAUUGAUUUCAUUUUCCUUUCUUACUGUUAUUGUACUAAAGUUAAAUGAAAUCUUAUUAUCUUUUUAUACUCUUUUGUACUAAAGUUAAAUGAAAUCUUAUUAUCUUUUUAUACUCUUUUGCAAGUGCUGGUUCCCUUCGGAGUUUGAGACUACCAAGGAGCAAUAUGAGCGAUUUGGUUGUGGAACAAAUUGCUGGAAAAUUUUCUGUGAUAACUUUCUUGGAUGUGAGCUAUUGUAUCAAAAUUGGUGCAUGUGCAAUUGAGAUGAUAGGCAAGAACUGCAAACUGCUAGAAGGGUUGUGUAGGAAUAUGCAUCCAUUGGAUACCGCCGGCAAGCCAUUACAAGAUGAUGAAGCAUAUGCAAUUGCAACCACAAUGCCUAAGCUCAAGCAUCUUGAAAUGGCUUAUCAUAGGAUCAGCACUUCCGGGGUAGUUCAAAUACUUUCAAACUGUCCAAAGCUUGAAUUUUUGGAUCUGAGAGGUUGUUGGGGUGUCAACCUAGACGAGAACAAGUCCGCGAAGCAGAGUUUUCCAAAACUUAAAGUUUUGGGGCCUUUUGUUCUUGGUGCUUAUGAGAGUGAUGGUUGGGAAGAUGAUGACUACUCAGAUGUAUCAGAUGAGUAUUUAGCUUGGGAUUUUGUAGCUGGUAAUGAAUACUAUGUUGAUGAUGAUAGUGAUGGUUAUGAAGGAAGGAUAGAUGAUGAGCUUGAGUUUGGAUUAUAUGAAGGGAUAGAAGAUGCUGGAAUGUAUUGGCCUCCAUCACCAUAAUUUGAUUGUAUCAUCAAUUACAUUUGCUAUUAAUUACUAUUGUAUGGAUUUUCUAGUAUGUGUGACUAAUGCUUCAACUUGAAUUUUAUGUAUCAAUUAAUCAAUGAUGUGUAUUUUUCUUGAAGAUUAAGAAAUUUAGCUUGUUCUUUCUAUCAUAGUAAUAUUGUUUCAUCUCCAAUGAGUUUGUUAAAUAACGUGCUUGAUUAUUAAGCAACAGCCACCAAGACUUGAGUGUGUGUGAUUGUGAUUAUCUUGACAUUCCUAAGAGCUAUGUCACUUGUGAACUCAAUUCAUUGUUGCUUAAGUGGGGUCUAAUAGUGCCACAUAUAAAGCAACUCAUUUAAUUGAGUGAAGUGAAAACCUACUUUAGUACUUGAGAGAAACUUUCAGAUCCAUUGUGGUUCUUGGGAAAAAUAAAACCAACUUUCAAUUUCUAAAAAAACAAACUGAAAUAAUUUAGUCCCUAAUUGUACCACAGUUAAAAAAUUGCUUUUUUGUUUGUUUGUUUGUUGUGACAAUUUCAAAAUGGACGAUUAGAUGAUGACAAUGAUUAAAAAGAAAGACAUAACUAUUGUUAUUGUUAGACUGAACAACUUCACUCAAGUUUGAACUUAAAACCUCACAAUUGUGUGCGAAUUUCAAAUAAUGUUUGUCGUUUAAUCAACAAAAAGAAAGAGACAUUUUAACCCUUAUAUAUAAUUAAAAAGUGACAUAGGGAUUUUUUUUUCUUUAUAAGGAUUAAUCCAUCCCUUUUUAAUUAUUGUCAAAAACCAAAUUGUCUCUUUUUAAUUAUUGUCACAAAUAUAAUUUUUUUAUUUUAUAUAUAAGAAAAUUCACCUCUUAAGAUAAAUAAGUGGAGAAUCCAUGAUUCAAACCUCACCUCAUACAUAUAUAAUGUAAUAUUUCUAUCAACUGAAGUAAAUUUACGGAAGUCGAAACUUCAAUCUCUUUACAGCACCUAAAAAAUGAUCCCACAAUUUAGUUUAUAUAUUUCACAAUCGCUCUCACAUACUUAUAUUAGACUUGUGUUCUCCAAUGGAACACCCUAAUGGUGUAGAGUUAAAAAAAAAAAAAAAAAAAAAAAAAAAGAAGUUAUUAGACUUGUGAGCCAUUGAUCAACUUGUCGUUGGAUAUGCACUAAUUUAGGUUGAAGUGUUGGAUGGAGAUGAUCUUAUUUACCUAACCUUAGAUUUGUUUAGCUUGUAGCACUUCUCAAAACUUUGAUGAGAAAACAACUAAUUGAAAAAGUGGAAAAAGAGCACUUUAAUUGAAAAAGAGCAAGAUCCGAUCCUGGUUUCACAUUUAGAGUCUUACUUUAUGUAAUUAGAAGAUUGUUAGGUAAGAAACUUGAAUUUUGGCUUACAAAAAUGUUAAAUUGUACGUAGUAGAAAAUAUUUAUUUGAUUGAAUCGUAGAGUUAGGAUCUUGACUCGUCUAAGUGGGUACAUUUUGAAAUUUUCUUUGUUGAACAAUAAAUUUAUUACCGAAAGUGCAAGCAAGCAAUAAUUAAUGGUGAGUUGACAUGAUAUCUAAGUGUUGGUCGGGUAAAUACUAGAUAAAUCGAUUGGAUUUGAAUCUACAAGAAAAUUGUUGGGAUUGAUAUGGAAAAUGGAAAAUAAGUGUGUUGAUCCGCGGAAAAAUAAAAAGGUCGUCUGACAUGACAAAUUUUCUUGCGUUAUGUUUGAUCGUAAGAAGAGUAAACAGUUACUUCGGUCCUACACUUAUCUAUCACAAACGUCUCUGAUUCAGAAUUAAAUAUAAAGUGGUACGUGAAUGAGCAGUUUUGUGUUAUUGGUUUAGUCUAUGACGUUAGAAAUUUCUGUUAACUUGUGAGGUGACGUGAAUGAGGGUGUUACAAGAAUUAAAAUGAAAGUAGAAAAUGGUCACUUUGGUCCCUGAACCAAAAAUCAAUAUCCCCAGAUUGAAUUUCAAAUCCUUAAGUCUCUAAAUCUCAUCUAAUUCUCUCUUUGUUCAAAAUCAUUUUUUUUGCCGGUGUUAACAAAAAAAAAAAUUGAUUUUGAACAAAAGAGGGAAUUAAAUGAGAUUUAGAGAUUUGAGAAUUAAAUUCAAAAUUUAGGGAUUUAAGAUUCAAUUUAGGGAUAUUAAUUUUCGGUUUAGAGACCAAAUUAACCAUUUUUUACAACUCUCUCAUACUAUGAUGAUGUUAUUCUCUCUUUUCAUUUUUCUCUCAAUUGAUUUUGAUAUGCGAAGGUUUAUGAUUAUAACAUUUAUAUAUAUAUAUAUAUAUAUAUAUAUAUAUAUAUAUAUAUAUAUAUAUAUAUAUNAUAAUAGGAGUUUGUUAUGAUACACCCACUAGUUUUUAUUAAGGUGUGUUUUAGCAAAGAUAUAACUAAAAAGUUGUUAAAUACAUCUUAAGGUGAAUGUUGCUAAAACACACCUUCUAAAAAAAUAAGUGGGUGUAUGUUAGCAACUCCUAUAGACAUUUGCUAGGAUACACUCACUUAUUUUUUAGAAGGUGUGUUUUAGCAAGUUAUAACUAAUUAAAAAGUAGUUAAAUACACCUUAAGGUGUAGCUUGCUAAAACACUCCUACAUAAAAACUAGUGCGUGUGUUCUAGCAAAUCUCAUCUUAUAUAUAUAUAUAUAUAUAUAUAUAUAUAUAUAUAUAUAUAUAUAUAUAUAUAUAUUGAGAGUAUCUUACCAACAUAAAUAGAAAUUAAAGAAUUUAUCAAAGCCAUCUAAAAUCUUCUUCCCAAAACGUAAAACCAUUCAUCCUUUUUUUUUUCUUUCUGAAACUCCUCCUUCCCCUCCUCUCUUUUAGGUUACUGGGUCACCUCAAUAGCAUACCGAUACCCUACAAAACGAAUAUAGCAUCGGAGUGUUAAAAAAAAUACCAUUGGAAAUUAAAAUAAUCACAUAAACACACUGAAGAACUCCUAGAGCGAAUCGAAUCACAUAUUAAUGCAAGAAGACGGGGAAUAUAUGUAUGAUUCGUGCAUUUUUAAUGUUGCGUUAUGUCUCUAGGAAUGUCUUGGAUCGAUGGAUCGUUCAUAGUAUUCUCCCUAGAACAUUAAGUAUUAAUUUGUUAGUGCAAUUCUUAAUACCAUCUUUAGUAUUCUCCCUAGAAU